Molecule: long non-coding RNA, 338 nt
Organism: Pantherophis guttatus
Lineage: Eukaryota; Metazoa; Chordata; Lepidosauria; Squamata; Colubridae
Source: RefSeq, a predicted model, not a curated record
AAAGGAGAUUCUUGACAGAAAACCGUUGGCAGCUCAAAGGGCGGUUCAGAAGGCAGUUUGCAGUUGGCAGUUCGGAUAGUUCGGUUCAGCUCUUCUGUUAGAAAACUGAUUGAAUCAAAUUACAGCGGAGAAGGUCAGACGGCAUCUUUGAAGCAAAAGCUGUAUCCUCUUCUUUGGAGUUCUCUGUCAGAAGGGAAAUUUUGCAUCAGGAAUAGAAAACUCUCGCUGUAUUUUUUAAUGCAGCAAAAACAAUGUAUGUUUACAGGCCCUGCUCUUCAUAGUUUAUGGGGUUUACAUUCUGCUUUGGAAAUAAUUUUCUUAAAAAUAUCGUGUUUCCC